RNAcentral lists this long non-coding RNA (2233 nucleotides) under Olea europaea subsp. europaea. Lineage: Eukaryota; Viridiplantae; Streptophyta; Magnoliopsida; Lamiales; Oleaceae. The record is from RNAcentral.
UAGGAAAAGAAAUUGGAGUUUUGAAUAUUAUUUUGAUCUGCGGAAGUAAUAAAUUUCAGAUUUUUUUAUUUGAUUCAAUUAAUCAGGUUUGCUAUUUCACGUUUAUUUCUGGAUUUCUGUCAUCUAUAUAUGCAAUUAGGAUUUCGAUUUUGUUGUUUUGCAAUCUAUCUAUCUAUCGAUUCAUCCACCACCAGUUGAUGGGUCUUCGACAGUCCGCCGCUCCUGUUUCUGCGAUGACUGGAUCGGGUUCUUCUGAUUUUCCUUGUGCGUUUUUAGGGUUUCAAACGUUAUGGUUCUUUUCUCGGUUUGUAUGUCCUUGGAUUUUUGGCACUUCUAAUGCAUUGAUUAAGUGGAUUAUUCUGAUGGUUUUUAAGACGUUCUUGGAUACGAUAAGGCUGAUAACUAAUAGGGCAUCCUCUGCUUAUAAAUUUGAAUUGUGAGCUCUACCGUUGUGGUUACAAUUGGUAUCCAAGUAUGCUUCCUUCCUUCUGGCGAUGAUCUUCAUUGCGGAAAGGGCGACCUGGAGAUGGGUACUCCCAGUUGAAAACUGAUUCCGUGAAAUCUCCAGGAAUAUGAGCCGACGUAAUAAGGUGUAGAUGUUGUUAUGAAAGGAUGGGUGGAAUGUAAUAAUUCUUAUUGUAUUCCACAUUGCUAAGCUGAGACUUGGUUUCUAGAAUUAUAACCAAUUAGGCACCCUCUCCCUACAAACCGGCAUCCUCUCCCUACAAACCAGUUGAAGGGCGAGGAGUUCUACCCAAUGUGGUGGGUACAGAAAAUUUAUUUUUUGUUGUUGCCCAUUUAGGAUUCUAAUUCUGUAGUUUUUAAUCAGUCUGUAAGUCGGGUAUUCAACAAUAGGAGGGUUUUCUGGCACUUAUUUUGGGUUUCACGGAAUCAGAAAUUUAAGGUUUCUGCUACCUAAAAAGAGUUGGUUUUCUGGAAAUUCCAGGCUACAGUAAAAGUUUGACUAUUGUUGCCUCUCAAUUAGAGUUCUGAUUCACUGGUUUUUAUAUGUUCUUUUCAUUUGCUGGAGGUAUUUUAUCUAGUUUUUGUUAAUAGAAUCUCAGUUAUUGGUUGAGACAGCCACGGAUGGUAUUGAAGUGGAUGGUUUUUUGACCUGUUUCUACUUAGCCUUCAAUGUAGUUGGAUUUUAGAGCUCAGCGUUUUCACAUUUGGAUACUUGUUCAUUUGUGGCUUGCCGCAGAGGAAACGUCUUUGGAGAUCAGAAAUUUGAAUUUGAUGGAUGUACUGUGCUGGAAUUUUGCAUUUGGAUUUCCUAUCUUGGCAAGAAAGAGAUUGUUGUAUGAAUUGAUUAACCUGUAAUUUGUUGUGUGUAUAGUAUUAUAAUGGCGGUCAAGGCUGCAAGGGAAGUCUCUGUCUCCAAUCGACUUGAAGGAGGAUUUCUGAAAAACAGAGUCUGUGUCUACUGGCUUUCUGGGAGAUGCAAUCGGAAUCCAUGCAGGUUCAUGCACAGAGAAUCACCACCAAUCCCGCAAACUAAGCAGAUCCAUUCAGCAUCACCUGAGGAAAGUCAUUACCUAAAAUCCAGCAGAAGGACCUGGAGGAAUACUAACUCUAGUACUCCCAAGAAUGUUACACUUUUAACUAACAGAGGGGCUGGGUCCAAGCGUACAAGUGGUGAAGUUUCCCAACAGGAGGUCCUAGCAAAGAAUGAAAGAAAAAUUGAUCGGAUGGACCAAGAAAUGGUCGUAACCUCCAAAGAAAGUAUCCACUGCCAGCAGACCGUGCAAAAGGCUUUGACCACUGAAUCAGUUGAAUCGGAUAGAAAACCCGUUCAAAAAAUCCAGCCAAACGUAUGCAAGUAUUGGGUUACAGCAAAUUGUGUCCAUGGCGAUAAUUGCAAGGACAUACACUCUUGGUACUGUGGAUCUGGAUUCACAAUGUUGACGAAGUUAGAGGGACACACUAAGGUGCUCAUCUGAUAACAUUGUUUUUUAUUAUUUUCAAAUCAUGUUUAACCUGUUAGUAACUUUUCUCUAUUUUUACACUCUUAUUGGUACUGCUCUUCUUUUAUACUGUUUUUAUUAAAUGCUUUAAGAAACUAUUGCAUACAAUUCUAACAAUAAUUCUUUCUAAUGGAAUUUGUACAGACCAUAACUGGAAUUGCUCUCCCUUCUGGUUCUGACAAGCUAUAUACUGUUAGUAAAGAUAGAACUAUCCGCAUUUGGGACUGCAACAGUGGUCAGGUGGGGAUAAUUUUACUUUCUCUCGUUUA